GGCGUAAAGCGCGCGCAGGCGGUGACCUAAGUGUCGUGUGAAAGCCCCCGGCUCAACUGGGGGAGGCCACGGCAGACUGGGUCGCUCGAGCUGCGGAGAGGCCCCUCGAAUUGCCGGUGUAGCGGUGAAAUGCGUAGAGAUCGGCAGGAAGACCAAGGGGGAAGCCAGGGGGCUGGCCGCAUGCUGACGCUGAGGCGCGACAGCGUGGGGAGCAAACCGGAUUAGAUACCCGGGUAGUCCACGCCGUAAACGAUGACCACUCGGCGUGUGGCGACACUAAUGUCGCGGCGCGCCCUAGCUAACGCGAUAAGUGGUCCGCCUGGGAACUACGAGCGCAAGCUUAGAACUCAAAGGAAUUGACGGGGGCCCGCUCAAGCAGCGGAGCGUGUGGUUUAAUUCGACGCUACACGUAGAACCUUACCCAUACUUUACAUGACGGGCUAGACGGCGGAUACGUCGUCGCCUUCGGGGUCCGUCACAGGUGCUGCAUGGCUGUCGUCAGCUCGUGUCGUGAGAUGUUGGGUUUAGUCCCGCUACGAGCGCAACCCCUGCGGUUAGUUACACGUGUCUAACCGGACUGCCCUUCGGGGAGGAAGGCGGGGAUGACGUCAAGUCCGCAUGGCCCUUAUGUCUGGGGCGACACACACGCUACAAUGGCGCCGACAAUGCGUCGCUACCGCGCAAGCGGAUGCCAAUCGCCAAACGGCGCCCCAGUGCAGAUCGGGGGCUGCUACUCGCCCCCGUGAAGGCGGAGUUGCUAGUAACCGCGUAUCAGCCAUGGC
RNAcentral lists this ribosomal RNA (782 nucleotides) under uncultured Chloroflexota bacterium. RNAcentral's name for it is "bacterial SSU rRNA". It matches the Rfam family "Bacterial small subunit ribosomal RNA", at positions 557 to 1358 of the family's 1533-position model. Lineage: Bacteria; Bacillati; Chloroflexota. The record is from RNAcentral.